GAUGAACGCUAGCGGGAGGCUUAACACAUGCAAGUCGAGGGGCAGCAUUUACUUCGGUAAGAUGGCGACCGGCGCACGGGUGCGUAACGCGUAUGCAACCUACCUUAUACAGAGGGAUAGCCCAUGGAAACGUGGAUUAACACCUCAUAGUAUUAUUUUUUCACCUGAUUAAAUAAUUAAAACUUCGGUGGUAUAAGAUGGGCAUGCGUAGGAUUAGGUAGUUGGUGAGGUAACAGCUCACCAAGCCGACGAUCCUUAGGGGUUCUGAGAGGAUUAUCCCCCACACUGGUACUGAGACACGGACCAG
This 307-nucleotide ribosomal RNA is filed under the name uncultured bacterium. Its description in RNAcentral is "bacterial SSU rRNA". It matches the Rfam family "Bacterial small subunit ribosomal RNA", at positions 28 to 334 of the family's 1533-position model. The record is from RNAcentral.